Molecule: ribosomal RNA, 966 nt
Filed under: uncultured bacterium
Lineage: Bacteria
Description: bacterial SSU rRNA
Rfam family: Bacterial small subunit ribosomal RNA
Source: RNAcentral
AGAGUUUGAUCAUGGCUCAGAACGAACGCUGGCGGCGUGCUUAACACAUGCAAGUCGAGUGCGCGGUUGUAGCAAUACAACUGGCGCACGGCGCACGGGUGCGUAACACGUGGGCAAUCUGCCCUCCGAUGGGGAAUAACCCCGCGAAAGCGGGGCUAAUUCCGCAUAACAUUCCUUGGACCUCGGUCCGGGGACUCAAAGCCGUAAGGCGUCGGAGGAGGAGCCCGCGCCCGAUUAGCUAGUUGGUGAGGUAACGGCUCACCAAGGCAAUGAUCGGUAGCUGGUCUGAGAGGAUGGCCAGCCACACUGGAACUGAGACACGGUCCAGACUCCUACGGGAGGCAGCAGUGGGGAAUCUUGCGCAAUGGGCGAAAGCCUGACGCAGCGACGCCGCGUGGGGGAUGAAGCAUCUCGGUGUGUAAACCCCUUUCGACUGGGACGAAUACCUCGCAAGAGGGGUGACGGUACCAGUAGAAGAAGCCCCGGCUAACUACGUGCCAGCAGCCGCGGUAAGACGUAGGGGGCCAGCGUUGUUCGGAAUUACUGGGUGUAAAGGGUUCGUAGGCGGUGUGGCAAGUCGGGAGUGAAAUCUAUGGGCUUAACCCAUAGGCUGCUUCCGAAACUGCCGUGCUUGAGUGUGGGAGAGGCGCGUGGAAUUGCAGGUGUAGCGGUGAAAUGCGUAGAUAUCUGCAGGAACACCCGUGGCGAAAGCGGCGCGCUGGACCACUACUGACGCUGAGGAACGAAAGCUAGGGGAGCAAACAGGAUUAGAUACCCUGGUAGUCCUAGCCCUAAACGAUCACGACUUGGGGUGCCACCCGUUCGGGUGUCGUCCCGGAGCUAACGCGUUAAGUCCUGCACCUGGGGAGUACGGUCGCAAGACUGAAACUCAAAGGAAUUGACGGGGGCCCGCACAAGCGGUGGAACAUGUGGUUCAAUUCGACGCUACGCGAGGAACCUUACCUG